RNAcentral lists this long non-coding RNA (2053 nucleotides) under Homo sapiens (human). RNAcentral describes it as "HSALNT0125353". Lineage: Eukaryota; Metazoa; Chordata; Mammalia; Primates; Hominidae. The record is from RNAcentral.
UAAUUAUUCACUGUCUUAUGUUGACAGCAUGGAACAAAAGGCAAAAUCAUGACUCAUGAAACUAUAAGGUGAAUAUAUGUCAAAUCUUUUAUUUAACUCAUUAAUUAAUAAGAGAUUCAGUAAAAUCUUAGGACCAGCUCAAAGGAAACAUUUAAAGAACAUAGGCUUCCAUUAAGUGGAAAUAAGUUUGUUAAUAUAUGCAAAAUUAGUUAAUAACCUAUAAAGUAAUAAAAUGUCAGUUUUCUAGAAAAGGAAAACCAAUUAUAUCUCAAUUUAUCAGAUGUAAUUUAUUUGCAUUUCUAUGAACAAUAAUUAUUCUCAUGACAAUCAGUCUUGUGCAAGUUAACUUCUACUUUUACAUUAGUCUAGAUAAUAGAAAAUCGGUUAAAGUUAUUCAUCCCUAUUGAAUUAGAUAAUCCCCAGAUAGUCUAUCAGACAGCUUCUACCACUUUGUUGAAAUGAUGCCCAGUAAUUUCAUUUGCUGAUUUCCAAAUCUUAGACAUUUUUCUUGACACACCCAAAUAUAUUGCAUCAGACAACCAGUCUCUAAAGUUAAAAAAAAAUCACAGUUUCUAUGUAUUUUUUCAUUACACAAAAAACCAAACAGAUUCUUGAAGUCCUACUCUGAAUCAUAUAAAGUUAAUCUGUGAGCACCCAAAAAAAACAGACUAUCCUCAGUAUGCUCGCCAUUUCACUGAGAAUUUCAUUGAUGAGCCUUGUUUUCUCCACAGAUACUACAUCUGCCCAUGCUACUAAGUCUCAGAUCAAUUCUGAGAAAGACAAAGAGCUGUAUUGAUCUAACAAACACAUAUUAUUGCCACACAUUUCUUACCAGGUCUUUCCUGAUGCUUAUAACAUUCCCCCAACACUGUCCCUCAAUCACUCACUGAUUCCAGCACAGUUCAUGCAGCUGGUGGCAGACUUGGUUCUCUCUCAUUAGCUUCCAAUAUCUCCCACUCUCCACAUUCUCACCAUUAUGAGAAUACCUUACCCCUACUUAAGAAGAAAUAUUGAGACCAUCUGGCAUGAUAUCCCGCCUUUAUUCCCAUCUUUCACUCAGAGCACUGCUCAUAGAAUCCUACCAAAAAGGAAAAGCUUUCCUUUCACUUUCAAGUAGACCCUUACACUCUAUCUGCUCCCAUCUCCUUGAAUGUAGCCCAUGUUUAGCCCCUCUGUCUUAAGUAACUUUCAUUUUUCUUUUCCAGUGAUGUUUUCCUUGUUACCCUUGAACAUGUUCAGGUUUCUCUCAUGCUCGACAUUUUUACCUAGAUUAGCUACCCUUCUCACUGUGAUACAGGGUCAUAUACCUGCCAGACUCCUGGAUCAUGAGUAUCCUAAUUUGCUGCUUCCACAAGGGAGAAGAUGCUGUUUAUGAACCAGAAAGUGGGACCUCAUCAAACACCAAAUCUACUGGCAACUUCCUCUUGGACUUCCCAGCCUCCAGAACUGUGAACUGUGAGAAAUAAAUGUCUGUUGUUAAUAAGCCACAGUGUUAUACUAUUCUAUGGUGUUUUGUUAUAGAAGCUGAAAUGAACUAAGGCAGUGUUAACACAUCUUUCCAAAUCCCAUGGGAGAGAAGAAUGUCUUUUAAUUCCCUAUACACAUUUUUACUAAAUCUCAUUUUCCAUUAUUUCCUCAGCUCUAAAUCUAUCACCAAAUUCUUUUAUUAAGUUUAUAUUUACUAUUUUUUAUAUCUAUUAUUGUAUAUACAUAUGUUAUUUCCCAUCUAGAUUAUAAGCCACCUAAACAAAAGGACUGUUUCUCUUAUCUUUUCUUGGACCUUUGGAACAAUUACUGAAUAAUAAAAGAUAAUAAUACUAAUAAUACAUUGCGAAGCCUUACCUUUUUCAAGUGACAUUAACAUUUAUUUUUAAAUUUAAUUUCAUAACUGACACUCAGAGAAGUCAAAGAGGCAUUGCUAUAGGAUUCACAGCCUAUAAGGGACAGAAACGGAACCAGGAAUUGUUUCUAGGAUACUUCUUCAUUACAGUAUUGAUUAAGUGGCUGGUCAACAAAAUGAUAUAAAGUGGGGAAAAAAGUAACCCAUAUUUAC